Molecule: ribosomal RNA, 402 nt
Filed under: bacterium
Lineage: Bacteria
Description: partial 16S ribosomal RNA
Rfam family: Bacterial small subunit ribosomal RNA
Source: RNAcentral
UGGGGAAUUUUGCACAAUGGGGGAAACCCUGAUGCAGCGACGCCGCGUGAUUUAGAAGGCCUUCGGGUUGUAAAAAUCUUUUUUACGGGAUGAAAAUGACAGUACCGUAAGAAUAAGGUCUGGCUAAAUACGUUCCAGCAGCCGCGGUAAUACGUAUGGACCUAGCGUUGUCCGGAAUCAUUGGGCGUAAAGGGUACGUAGGCGGCCUAGUAAGUUAGAAGUGAAAUAAUAUAGCUCAACUAUAUAAAGCUUUUAAAACUGAUAGGCUUGCGAGAUGGAAGGGGGAGUUGAAUUUCUAGAGUAGCGGUGAAAUGCGCAGAUAUUAGCAAGAAAACCGGUAGCGAAAGCGACUUUCUGGUCGUCAUCUGGCGCUGGGGUACGAAAGCGUGGGUAGCAAACAGG